This 524-nucleotide ribosomal RNA is filed under the name uncultured bacterium. RNAcentral describes it as "bacterial SSU rRNA". It matches the Rfam family "Bacterial small subunit ribosomal RNA", at positions 777 to 1301 of the family's 1533-position model. The record is from RNAcentral.
AAUAGAUACCCUGGUAGUCCACGCCGUAAACGAUGAGUGCUAAGUGUUAGAGGGUUUCCGCCCUUUAGUGCUGCAGCUAACGCAUUAAGCACUCCGCCUGGGGAGUACGGUCGCAAGACUGAAACUCAAAGGAAUUGACGGGGGCCCGCACAAGCGGUGGAGCAUGUGGUUUAAUUCGAAGCAACGCGAAGAACCUUACCAGGUCUUGACAUCCUCUGACAACUCUAGAGAUAGAGCGUUCCCCUUCGGGGGACAGAGUGACAGGUGGUGCAUGGUUGUCGUCAGCUCGUGUCGUGAGAUGUUGGGUUAAGUCCCGCAACGAGCGCAACCCUUGAUCUUAGUUGCCAGCAUUUAGUUGGGCACUCUAAGGUGACUGCCGGUGACAACCGGAGGAAGUGGGGAUGACGUCAAAUCAUCAUGCCCCUUAUGACCUGGGCUACACACGUGCUACAAUGGAUGGUACAAAGGGCUGCAAGACCGCGAGGUCAAGCCAAUCCCAUAAAACCAUUCUCAGUUCGGAUUGU